This 460-nucleotide ribosomal RNA is filed under the name uncultured bacterium. RNAcentral describes it as "partial 16S ribosomal RNA". It matches the Rfam family "Bacterial small subunit ribosomal RNA", at positions 338 to 795 of the family's 1533-position model. The record is from RNAcentral.
CCUACGGGAGGCAGCAGUGAGGAAUAUUGGUCAAUGGACGAGAGUCUGAACCAGCCAAGUAGCGUGAAGGAUGACUGCCCUAUGGGUUGUAAACUUCUUUUAUAUGGGAAUAAAACGUUCCACGUGUGGGAUUUUGUAUGUACCAUAUGAAUAAGGAUCGGCUAACUCCGUGCCAGCAGCCGCGGUAAUACGGAGGAUCCGAGCGUUAUCCGGAUUUAUUGGGUUUAAAGGGAGCGUAGGUGGAUUGUUAAGUCAGUUGUGAAAGUUUGCGGCUCAACCGUAAAAUUGCAGUUGAAACUGGCAGUCUUGAGUACAGUAGAGGUGGGCGGAAUUCGUGGUGUAGCGGUGAAAUGCUUAGAAAUCACGAAGAACUCCGAUUGCGAAGGCAGUUCACUGGACUGCAAAUGACACUGAGGCUCGAAAGUGUGGGUAUCAAACAGGAUUAGAUACCCGAGUAGUC